This is a long non-coding RNA of Rosa rugosa (rugosa rose), 271 nucleotides long. RefSeq lists it as uncharacterized. The transcript is spliced from 3 exons. NCBI's taxonomy places the organism in Eukaryota, Viridiplantae, Streptophyta, Magnoliopsida, Rosales, Rosaceae. The record is from RefSeq and is a predicted model, not a curated record.
GUUCAGGGGAGAUGAUAAGCCCCCAGCCCAGUUGGGCUCUAGUAGGGAUUAUAAUGUGGACAUGGUCCCUAAGUUUAUGAUGGCCAAUGGAACUCUAGUGCGUGUCCUCAUUCAUACAGAUGUUACCAAGUAUUUGUCCUUCAAAGCUGUGGAUGGCAGUUUUGUCUAUAAUAAAGGAAAGGUUCACAAGGUUCCAGCAAAUGAUAUGGAGGCACUUAAAUCUCCACUCAUGGGUCUAUUUGAAAAGCGCCGUGCAUGCAAGUUCUUCAUA